This 484-nucleotide ribosomal RNA is filed under the name uncultured bacterium. RNAcentral describes it as "bacterial SSU rRNA". It matches the Rfam family "Bacterial small subunit ribosomal RNA", at positions 8 to 518 of the family's 1533-position model. The record is from RNAcentral.
AGAGUUUGAUCCUGGCUCAGGAUGAACGCUGGCGGCGUGCCUAACACAUGCAAGUCGAGCGAUUCUCUUCGGAGAAGAGCGGCGGACGGGUGAGUAACGCGUGGGUAACCUGCCUCAUACACAUGGAUAACAUACCGAAAGGUAUGCUAAUACAGGAUAAUAUAAGAGAUUCACAUGGAUUUCUUAUCAAAGCUCCGGCGGUAUGAGAUGGACCCGCGUCUGAUUAGCUAGUUGGUAAGGUAACGGCUUACCAAGGCGACGAUCAGUAGCCGACCUGAGAGGGUGAUCGGCCACAUUGGAACUGGGACACGGUCCAAACUCCUACGGGAGGCAGCAGUGGGGAAUAUUGCACAAUGGGCGAAAGCCUGAUGCCAGCAACGCCGCGUGAGUGAUGAAGGCCUUCGGGUCGUAAAACUCUGUCCUCAAGGAAGAUAAUGACGGUACUUGAGGAGGAAGCCCCGGCUAACUACGUGCCAGCAGCCGC